RNAcentral lists this small RNA (1028 nucleotides) under Arabidopsis thaliana (thale cress). Its description in RNAcentral is "ATSL099570". The record is from RNAcentral. Lineage: Eukaryota; Viridiplantae; Streptophyta; Magnoliopsida; Brassicales; Brassicaceae.
CUUUUUAAAAUACCCAAAAACAAGGCAUCUUUCAAUGCUAAGCUUGUCCUUGGACUAAUAUGCCGUCAGUUUGUGACAAAGAAGGUGAAUGAGAUGUGGAUUGUAUUCGGCGGUCAUCCAAUCAGAUUUGGAUUAAGAGAAUUUAGUAUCUUAACUAGGCUGGAAUGUGGGAAGUAUCCCAAGAAGAAAGACGUUGAUGAUGUUAUCAGUGUGAAACCUGAGUGUCAGAGUGUUUGGAAGACUCUGUUUGAUGAGAGGUUUGGGGAGACGGUUCCAACAAUUGCUGAUUUGGUGAGCUGGCUGCAGGAGGAGGAAAGCAUGGAGGGGUGGAAGCAACUGGCACUAUCUCUUAUUAUUUUGGUUGACGGUGUGGUAGCGGCUCACAGUAACCCCAACAGGCCUACUUCGAAGACUGUCGAGAUGACUAAGAACCUGGAGUUUUUCUGCAAAUACCCAUGGGGAAGGGUGUCCUUUACCCGUACUUUGGGGAGGAUAGCAAAUUUCCAAACUCCUUACGAUGCUCACAAACUAAUAAGGGGUAUACUUGUAGGGUCUUAUGCACUCCAUGGCUUCCCAUUAGCUCUCCAGCUUUUAGCUUUCGAAACAAUCCCAUCAAUUGCUAAGCUAGGACCUGAUGAUGUACCUAACAGGACAUUUACUGAGAGGUCUAUCCAUCGUCUUGCCUCUCUGCGAGCAAUCCGGACAUCUCGCAUUUUGGAGUGUGAGGCUGCUGAUGAGGUGUGUUAAAUUGUGUAUGUACGUACAUAAUAAGUAAAUGUACAUUAUCUAUGGUUAACAUACUUAUUUGUGUAGGUUGAGGUCAACUAUAUUGUGAAACCAGCUGAUAAUGUUUGUCCUCCAUCUCUUUCAUGGGAUGAUGAAGUUGAUGAUCCAAGGGUUGAUUACAUUGAGGCACUGUUGAUAGAUGGGCACCAGUGGCAGGAGGAUGAAUGGGUUGGAGGCUAUGCUAGAGUACCAAAGCAGUCGCGCCCACCACAACUAGAAGAGACACGUAAGUAUAAGUAUAA